RNAcentral lists this small RNA (288 nucleotides) under Arabidopsis thaliana (thale cress). RNAcentral's name for it is "ATSL173450". The record is from RNAcentral. Lineage: Eukaryota; Viridiplantae; Streptophyta; Magnoliopsida; Brassicales; Brassicaceae.
UAAUCAAAAACAAAAUCCUUUAAUGACAUCAUUAAGGUUACCAAAAUCAUUUAACGACAAUAUUCAUCUGUUAAUUAUAGGGUUUAUUGGAUCUAAAGACGGGUCAUCAAGAUUUCAUAAACUGAAGCAAAAUAUACUGAAUAUACAAAUAUUUAUCUGUUACCAAAUUAUAAACAAAUAAAUUCGUAAAACAAUUUAAUAUUUUAUAUAUGAAAUCAAUUAAAUCUUAAUCACAUAAAAAUUAGCACAAAAAAGGAAUCAACAAUUAAAAAAUUAUCAAAUCUCUGU